Long non-coding RNA from Oncorhynchus tshawytscha (Chinook salmon), 385 nucleotides. The record is from Ensembl. Lineage: Eukaryota; Metazoa; Chordata; Actinopteri; Salmoniformes; Salmonidae.
GAAUCACUCUAAGGAUUGGGCUGUGGUGAAUCACUCUAAGGACAGGGCUGGUGUGAAUCACUCUAAGGAUUGGGCUGAGGUGAAUCACUCUAAGGAUUGGGCUGAGGUGAAUCACUCUAAGGAUUGGGCUGAGGUGAAUCACUCUAAGGAUUGGGCUGAGGUGAAUCACUCUAAGGAUUGGGCUGAGGUGAAUCACUCUAAGGAUUGGGCUGAGGUGAAUCACUCUAAGGAUUGGGCUGAGGUGAUUCACUCUAAGGAUUGGGCUGAGGUGAAUCACUCUAAGGAUUGGGCUGAGGUGAAUCACUCUAGUUUCAGCUGUAGUAGAUCUACAUGGAUCGCGAACGCCUCAAGCUCAGGGUUGACAAGGUGAAGCAGGGAGGAGGCU